Non-coding RNA from Rattus norvegicus (Norway rat), 1136 nucleotides. The record is from RefSeq and is a predicted model, not a curated record. Lineage: Eukaryota; Metazoa; Chordata; Mammalia; Rodentia; Muridae.
AUUUCCUUAAAGUGAGACGGUAGGACAUACUUCAUUCUCAAGCUGUUUUCUUUAUAUCUUCCAGCACUUGGUGAAAAAUUAAAAUGGUACUGAGCUAUGAUUUCCAGCAAUACUGAACUGAAACACAGGAGAAGGUUUACUCCUGUUAGGAAUAAAAGAUAACAGCUUUUCGUAUGGGACUCAGAUAAGCAAGUAUAUUAAGAACAAAGAUUUAGUAGCUGAAGCAAGGGCUCUGUGGUCGAUGCUCUGGAGAGGACCAUGUCGGUCCCCGCACUGCUCUGGCCGGCUCACAAUCAGCUGUGACUGGCUCCAGAGGCACACACAAUGCCUCUGCCCUCUGCAAGCGCUGCCCUCACAGGCAGGUACCCCAAAACAAGCAGAUGAGGGCCAGGCAGGGUGACACCUGUAACACCAGCACGUGGGGGGCAGAGGCAGGCAGCACCCCAAGUCCCAGGAUGAGCCAGAGCUACACAGUGAAGCUCUGUCCCUAAUAACGGCGCAGGAGGACGGAUGCUGCAUCAGGGCAAGACAGGGCAACAGUGAAGCCGUCCCUGCCUGUGAACAGGAAUGUUAACAGAGCACAAGCCAAAUUCAACUUUAACACUUUCACAAUAAGGCUGGAGAGACUUCUCGCUCUUCAAGAGGACUGGAGUUGAGUUCCUAGCACCCUCAUGGCAGCUCACGACCAUCUGUAACUCCAGUUUCAGAAGAGUUGAUGCUCUCUUCUGGCUUCUUGCAGGCACCAGACGACCAUGUGGCAUCCAGAAAUACAUACACAGGCCAACACUCAGACACAUAAGAGUGAAAGAAGAGAAACACGGCAGCUUACAUUCAUAUGAUGGCAAGACCACUGUCAAGGGAAACUUUCAACUUAGUGUAAAGGAGUUCUUUGUAAACUUACCAUGAGGUCACUAGUAGGGGACAGAAUCCCAAAAAGGGAAGAAACCCUCCGGCCAAUCCCCGAGAGCAUGCCUUGGCCCUGGGGCAGGACAUGCUGGUGAAUCUUCCCUGAGCCCUCAGGAAUCAAUCGAACCAACUGGCUUCCCACAGAGGACAGGAUGAAACUUCCUCCCUGUGAAUAAAUACCAAGUCCUUUCGUUAACUAAUACACAAAAAUGCCCUUACAGCUUUUUAAA